GCAGACACAUUCCAGCCAAUCAGCAGCAGACCCUCCCUCCCAGACCCUCCCACCUCCUGGACAGCAUCCAUUGUGAAGCUGCAUUCUUACUGAGCUGUCCAGGAGGUGGGAGGGUCUGGGAGGGAGGGUCUGCUGCUGAUUGGCUGGAAUGUGUCUG
Pelobates cultripes (western spadefoot toad) is the source of this 157-nucleotide non-coding RNA. Lineage: Eukaryota; Metazoa; Chordata; Amphibia; Anura; Pelobatidae. The record is from the annotation of a GenBank genome assembly.